Molecule: long non-coding RNA, 385 nt
Organism: Cotesia glomerata
Lineage: Eukaryota; Metazoa; Arthropoda; Insecta; Hymenoptera; Braconidae
Exons: 2
Source: RefSeq, a predicted model, not a curated record
CCUCGGCAAUUAUGGAGACGUUGUUGCUAAUAUCAGAUUUAUCAGUGAUAAUUCAUUCAUAAUGAGCUUUGAGUUACCGAAUGUCGGAGUGGUAUCAGUUAAUCACGCCGUUCUCGACGUAGACUAUAAUAAUUUCGUCAUAUAUUACGAAUGUAGAAAUCAAGGAUCCAGCUACACUACCUCUUACUGGGUCAAGACACGCAGACCGUAUCCAUCAUUCCAGGUUGAAAGCAUGAUUCGUAAUUCAUUGGCAAACCACGGUCUCUCGUAUGGAAGAUUGACUCGAAUCAGUCAACAAAAUUGCUUUAGAAAUAAUUAUUAAUAAUAAUUAUGUCAUUGAAAUUUUGCAACAUGCAUAAUAAAUAAUAAAAUUAAUGAAAUAUAA